AUGCAAGUCGAACGGCAGCACGGGAGCAAUCCUGGUGGCGAGUGGCGAACGGGUGAGUAAUAUAUCGGAACGUGCCCAGUCGUGGGGGAUAACGUAGCGAAAGCUACGCUAAUACCGCAUACGAUCUAUGGAUGAANCGGGGGAUCGCAAGACCUCGCGCGAUUGGAGCGGCCGAUAUCAGAUUAGGUAGUUGGUGAGGUAAAGGCUCACCAAGCCGACGAUCUGUAGCUGGUCUGAGAGGACGACCAGCCACACUGGGACUGAGACACGGCCCAGACUCCUACGGGAGGCAGCAGUGGGGAAUUUUGGACAAUGGGCGCAAGCCUGAUCCAGCAAUGCCGCGUGCAGGAUGAAGGCCUUCGGGUUGUAAACUGCUUUUGUACGGAACGAAACGGUGAGCUCUAAUACAGUUUGCUAAUGACGGUACCGUAAGAAUAAGCACCGGCUAACUACGUG
This 456-nucleotide ribosomal RNA is filed under the name uncultured bacterium. Its description in RNAcentral is "bacterial SSU rRNA". It matches the Rfam family "Bacterial small subunit ribosomal RNA", at positions 55 to 507 of the family's 1533-position model. The record is from RNAcentral.